RNAcentral lists this ribosomal RNA (165 nucleotides) under Clostridioides difficile. RNAcentral describes it as "partial 23S ribosomal RNA". It matches the Rfam family "Bacterial large subunit ribosomal RNA", at positions 2586 to 2750 of the family's 2925-position model. The record is from RNAcentral. Lineage: Bacteria; Bacillati; Bacillota; Clostridia; Peptostreptococcales; Peptostreptococcaceae.
CAUUAAAGUGGUACGCGGGCUGGGUUCAGAACGUCGUGGGACAGUUCGGUCCCUAUCCGUCGCAGGCGUAGGAAAUUUGAGAAGACCUGUCCUUAGUACGAGAGGACCGGGAUGGACGUACCUCUGGUGUACCAGUUGUUCUGCCAAGGGCAUGGCUGGGUAGCU